This is a non-coding RNA of Acanthosepion pharaonis, 110 nucleotides long. The record is from the annotation of a GenBank genome assembly. NCBI's taxonomy places the organism in Eukaryota, Metazoa, Mollusca, Cephalopoda, Sepiida, Sepiidae.
GCCACGUCACGUUGAAACACCAGUUCUCAUACGAUCAACAAUGUUAAGCAACGUCGAGCCUGGUCAGUACCUAGAUGGGAGAUUCAGUUGGGAAUAACUGGUACUGUAAG